Molecule: ribosomal RNA, 1956 nt
Filed under: human gut metagenome
Description: bacterial LSU rRNA
Rfam family: Bacterial large subunit ribosomal RNA
Source: RNAcentral
UCAAGCUACUAAGGGCAUACGGCGGAUGCCUAGGCGCCAUGAGCCGAUGAAGGACGCGGUAAGCUGCGAAAAGCCACGGGGAACUGCAAGCAAGUAUUGAUCCGUGGAUAUCCGAAUGGGGAAACCCAACUACCGUCAUGGGUAGUUAUCCGAAAGGAAGGGAACCUGGGGAACUGAAACAUCUAAGUACCCGGAGGAAAAGAAAUCAAACGAGAUGCCCACAGUAGCGGCGAGCGAAGAGGGCAGAGCCCAAACCGUAAAGCUACGGCUUUGCGGGGUUGAGGACCGGCAUAAUCGAAGUCAGGUCUAGCUGAACUACCUGGAAAGGUAGGCAAUAGAGUGUAAAAGCCACGUAAGCGAAAGACAGAGCGGAGAGGCCGAGAUCCAGAGUACCACGAAGCACGAGGAAUUUUGUGGGAAGCAGGGGGGACCACCCUCCAAGGCUAAAGACUAAAUGGCGACCGAUAGCGCAUAGUACCGUGAGGGAAAGGUGAAAAGAACCCCGGGAGGGGAGUGAAAGAGUACCUGAAACCGUAUGUCUACAAGCAGUCGGAGCGAAAGCGACGGCGUGCCUAUUGAAGAAUGAACCAACGAGUUACGUGCAGUAGCGAGGUUAAGUGGAAGACACGGAGCCGAAGCGAAAGCGAGUCUUAAGAGGGCGACUAGUUGCUGUACGUAGACCCGAAACCGCAGUGAUCUACCCAUGUCCAGGUUGAAGCGCAGGUAAAAUUGCGUGGAGGACCGAACCGGUGAGCGUUGAAAAGCUUUCGGAUGAGAUGUGGGUAGAGGUGAAAUUCCAAUCGAACGCGGAGAUAGCUGGUUCUCCCCGAAAUAGCUUUAGGGCUAGCCUCAAGUAGUAAGUAUAGGCGGUAGAGCACUGAUCGGGCUAGGGGCCGUAAAGGUUACCGAACCCUGUCAAACUCCGAAUGGUUAUACUGCAAAGCUUGGGAGUCAGACUACGAGUGAUAAGAUCCGUGGUCAAAAGGGAAACAGCCCAGACCACCAGCUAAGGUCCCCAAUGCCGUACUAAGUGGAAAAGGAUGUGGGGUCUCAUAAACAACCAGGAUGUUGGCUUAGAAGCAGCCACCAUUUAAAGAGUGCGUAAUAGCUCACUGGUCGAGAGACCCUGCGCCGAAGAUUACCGGGGCUAAAGUACGGAACCGAAGCUGUGGCUACAUACGUAAGUAUGUGGGGUAGGGGAGCGUUCCCAUAGGGUUGAAGUCGUACUGUAAGGUACGGUGGACUUGUGGGAAGUGAGAAUGUUGGUAUGAGUAGCGAAAAGAAAGGUGAGAAUCCUUUCCACCGAAAGCAUAAGGAUUCCUGGGCAACGAUCGUCGUCCCAGGGUAAGUCGGGACCUAAUCCGAGGCAGAGAGCGUAGGAGAUGGACAACUGGUUGAUAUUCCAGUACCGGUGAUAAUUGUUUGAGCGAUGGAGUGACACAGGAGGGUAGGUCAGCAGGAGAUUGGUUGUUCCUGUGAAAGCGUGUAGGAUGGCAGAUAGGCAAAUCCGUCUGCUGAAAGUCUGAGGCGUGAGACGAGAUGGUAGAAAUACCGUCGAAGUGAUUGACCCCACACUGUCGAGAAAAGCUUCUAGUGAGAUUAUAACCGCCCGUACCGUAAACCGACACAGGUAUGCGGGGAGAGAAUCCUAAGGUGCGCGGGAGAACCCUCGUUAAGGAACUCGGCAAAAUGUACCCGUAACUUCGGGAUAAGGGUAGCCGCUGUUGUGAAGUCCCUGCGGAUGGAGCAUAAGGCGGUCGCAGAGAAGAGGCCCAAGCGACUGUUUACCACAAACACAGGUGCCUGCUAAAGCGAAAGCUGACGUAUAGGUGCUGACACCUGCCCAGUGCCGGAAGGUUAAGGAAGGAUGUCCGGAUUAGUCCAAAGCAUUCGACCGAAGCCCCGGUGAACGGCGGCCGUAACUAUAACGGUCCUAAGGUAGCGAAAUUCCUUGUC